RNAcentral lists this transfer RNA (57 nucleotides) under Agama doriae. Its description in RNAcentral is "tRNA-Ser". The record is from RNAcentral. Lineage: Eukaryota; Metazoa; Chordata; Lepidosauria; Squamata; Agamidae.
GAGAUUAACCAAUGAACUGCUAAAUCACACCGCCGAGCUCAAAACCUCGGGAUUCUC